This 1085-nucleotide long non-coding RNA is filed under the name Cricetulus griseus (Chinese hamster). RNAcentral's name for it is "lncRNA (ENSCGRG00015043184.1)". The record is from RNAcentral. Lineage: Eukaryota; Metazoa; Chordata; Mammalia; Rodentia; Cricetidae.
CAGGAAGUGACAUAGCAGGGUAGAAUCAGAGAAGCAGGAAAUUUCUCUCUUCUCUCUUCUCUGUGGAGACGCUGAGCAGACGUGAUGUAGACCCCAGUGGAAUAAGAGGCCUGGACAUUACCUCUGAAACUGGAAGCAAUCUAGAUGCUCAUCAAAAGAAGAAUGGAUAAGGAAAAUGUGGCACAUAUACACAAUGGAGUACUACUCAGAGGUAAAAAACAAUGACAUCUUGAAAUUUGAAGACAAAUGGAUGGAGCUAGAAGAAACCAUCCUGAGUGAGGAAACACAGGCACAGAAAGACAAGCACAAAACAACACCUUGAUAAAAUCACUGUGUUUGAGUCUGCAUCUGAGGAUGCAGAAGAUCUGGAGAGAGACAGCACUGAAACUCCCAAACUCUACAAGUUCAAACUGUGAGACUGUUGGGAACUGACCAUCCUUUGGAGAUACAGGGACCAUCAGUGGAUGUCAAGGCACUCUGGACAGCAGGAAGUUGCUACUGUGUCCACCUGAAGGGAAAGUGGUACCAAUGGAACCGAGGACUGUGUACACAGGAGCUGUGAAUUAUGCUUUUCUAUCUGUUUUACUCAGAACCAGAUGAGGAGAACAUUAACUUAUUUUAAAUUUAAAAAUAAAGUCUUCAAAAAGGCUGGGGACACUAUUCAAUGGUAACUCGAUUGCCUAGCCCUUGCAAAACCCUCAGCUUGGUCUCUGUUAAGUCUCAGGUCCUGGGACAAAUGGCGGAGGCUGCCUCUGCCUGUGCUUUCCCUUUUAUCUAUCACAAAAUUUCUCCUCCACCAUACCUAGGAAUAGACAUGUCUUUCUCUUUUAUUUCUUUUUUUCAGUCAGUCUCCAGCACCAGAACAAAACAAAUGAAACACAAAAGUCAAAACCCAAAUAAAAAUAAAAAGGGAGAAAACAGUAAUUUUUUGUUUGUUUGUUUGUUUGUUUUUUUGUUUUUUGAGACAGGGUUUCUCUGUGUAGCCCUGACUGUCCUAGAAUUCACUCUGUAGACCAGGCUGGCCUCUACUUCACAGAGAUCCACCUGUCUCUGUCUCCCAAGUACUGGGAUUAAAGGCAUAUGCC